RNAcentral lists this ribosomal RNA (484 nucleotides) under uncultured bacterium. RNAcentral's name for it is "bacterial SSU rRNA". It matches the Rfam family "Bacterial small subunit ribosomal RNA", at positions 33 to 507 of the family's 1533-position model. The record is from RNAcentral.
ACGACGCUGCGGCGUGGAUUAGGCAUGCAAGUCGAACGGUAUCAUCCUUUCGGGGGUGAGAGAGUGGCGAACUGGUGAGUAACACGUAGGUUAUCUACCCUCAAGACGGGGACAACCCAGGGAAACUUGGGCUAAUACCGGAUGUGAGCAACUUUUAGUUGUUUGAAAGGUGGCGUAAGCUGUCGCUUGGGGAUGAGCCUGCGUCCUAUUAGUUAGUUGGUGAGGUAACGGCUCACCUAGGCAAUGAUAGGUAGGCGGCCUUAACGGGUGGUCGCCCACACUGGGAUUGAGAUACGGCCCAGACUCCUACGGGAGGCAGCAGUCGAGAAUAGUCUACAAUGGUCGGAAGACUGAUAGUGCGACGCCGCGUGAACGAUGAAUCCCUUCGGGGUGUAAAGUUCUUUUAUAUGUGAGCAGUGCUUCUUAUAUUAACAGUAUGGGGAGAGAGAUAUUAGCAUAUGAAUAAGCAACGGCUAACUCCGUG